CUCCGGGGAUAACAGGCUGAUACCGCCCAAGAGUUCAUAUCGACGGCGGUGUUUGGCACCUCGAUGUCGGCUCAUCACAUCCUGGGGCUGAAGCAGGUCCCAAGGGUAUGGCUGUUCGCCAUUUAAAGUGGUACGCGAGCUGGGUUUAGAACGUCGUGAGACAGUUCGGUCCCUAUCUGCCGUGGGCGUAGGAAAAUUGAGAGGAGCUGCUCCUAGUACGAGAGGACCGGAGUGGACGAACCUCUGGUGCACCGGUUGUCACGCCAGUGGCAUGGCCGGGUAGCUAAGUUCGGACGGGAUAACCGCUGAAAGCAUCUAAGCGGGAAGCCUCCCUCAAGAUGAGUUUUCCCAUGAAGCCCGUUGAAGACUACGACGUUGAUAGGCAAGGUGUGGAAGCGCAGUAAUGCGUGAAGCUAACUUGUACUAAUUGGCUGAUUGUCUUGACCAUA
This 449-nucleotide ribosomal RNA is filed under the name Legionella pneumophila. RNAcentral describes it as "partial 23S ribosomal RNA". It matches the Rfam family "Bacterial large subunit ribosomal RNA", at positions 2466 to 2925 of the family's 2925-position model. The record is from RNAcentral. Lineage: Bacteria; Pseudomonadati; Pseudomonadota; Gammaproteobacteria; Legionellales; Legionellaceae.